CCCUUAGAUGUCCUGGGCCGCACGCGCGCUACACUGAUGCAUUCAACGAGCCUAUCCUUGACCGACAGGUCCGGGUAAUCUUUGAAUCUGCAUCGUGACGGGGAUAGAUUAUUGCAAUUAUUAAUCUUCAACGAGGAAUGCCUAGUAGGCGCAAGUCAUCAGCUUGCGUCGAUUACGUCCCUGCCCUUUGUACACACCGCCCGUCGCUCCUACCGAUUGGGUGUGCUGGUGAAAUGUUCGGAUCGGCCGUUUGUCGCGGUUUCCGCGUCAUGUGGCUGAGAAGUUCAUUAAACCCUCCCACCGAGAGGAAGGAGAAGUCGUAACA
Molecule: ribosomal RNA, 325 nt
Filed under: uncultured eukaryote
Lineage: Eukaryota
Description: partial 18S ribosomal RNA
Rfam family: Eukaryotic small subunit ribosomal RNA
Source: RNAcentral